RNAcentral lists this ribosomal RNA (493 nucleotides) under uncultured bacterium. RNAcentral describes it as "partial 16S ribosomal RNA". It matches the Rfam family "Bacterial small subunit ribosomal RNA", at positions 30 to 523 of the family's 1533-position model. The record is from RNAcentral.
AUUGAACGCUGGCGGCAUGCUUUACACAUGCAAGUCGAACGGUAACAGGUUAAGCUGACGAGUGGCGAACGGGUGAGUAAUGCAUCGGAACGUGCCCGGUCGUGGGGGAUAACGCAGCAAAAGCUGCGCUAAUACCGCAUACGAUCUGAGGAUGAAAGCGGGGGACCGUAAGGCCUCGCGCGAUCGGAGCGGCCGAUGUCAGAUUAGGUAGUUGGUGGGGUAAAGGCUCACCAAGCCGACGAUCUGUAGCUGGUCUGAGAGGACGACCAGCCACACUGGGACUGAGACACGGCCCAGACUCCUACGGGAGGCAGCAGUGGGGAAUUUUGGACAAUGGGCGCAAGCCUGAUCCAGCAAUGCCGCGUGCAGGAAGAAGGCCUUCGGGUUGUAAACUGCUUUUGUACGGAGCGAAAAGGCUCUCUCUAAUACAGGGGGUUCAUGACGGUACCGUAAGAAUAAGCACCGGCUAACUACGUGCCAGCAGCCGCAGUAA